RNAcentral lists this unclassified non-coding RNA (338 nucleotides) under soil metagenome. RNAcentral's name for it is "partial contains 5.8S ribosomal RNA, internal transcribed spacer 2, and large subunit ribosomal RNA". The stretch from base 1 to 120 matches the Rfam family "5.8S ribosomal RNA", at positions 35 to 154 of the family's 154-position model. The record is from RNAcentral.
GAUGAAGAACGCAGCGAAAUGCGAUAAGUAAUGUGAAUUGCAGAAUUCAGUGAAUCAUCGAAUCUUUGAACGCACAUUGCGCCCGCCAGUAUUCUGGCGGGCAUGCCUGUUCGAGCGUCAUUACAACCCUCAAGCUCAGCUUGCUGUUGGGUCCCCGUCGUUGCUUUAACGGCGGACCCGAAAGGUAAUGGCAGAGUCCGUGAGACCCUAGACGCAGCGAGCUUCUAGCACGCGUCUGGACGUUUUUCGGGCUCGGUCUUAACUAGAUGAUAACUUCCGAUUGACCUCAGAUCAGGUAGGGAUACCCGCUGAACUUAAGCAUAUCAAUAAGCGGAGGA